Molecule: ribosomal RNA, 368 nt
Filed under: Sphenophryne sp. RODS-2018
Lineage: Eukaryota; Metazoa; Chordata; Amphibia; Anura; Microhylidae
Description: partial small subunit ribosomal RNA
Rfam family: Microsporidia small subunit ribosomal RNA
Source: RNAcentral
GCUGGAAUUACGAGCCCAAACUUAAACCCAAGACUGACGGUGUCCCAUCCCCCUAGAGGAGCCUGUUCUAUAAUCGAUUCUCCCCGAUCCACCUCACCGCCCCUUGAACACCCAGUCUGUAUACCUCCGUCGCAAGCUUACCAUGUGAGCGCUUAAUUAGUGAGCCCAAAAAUCUAACACUCACACGUCAGGUCAAGGUGCAGCCCACGGGGCGGAAAGAAAUGGGCUACAAUCUCUACCCUAGAACAAACGGAAACCUGUAUGCAAUACAGUUACUAAGGCGGAUUUAGAAGUAAAAAGAAAUUAGAGAGUUCUUUUUAAUUGGGCCCUGGGACGCGUACACACCGCCCGUCACCCUCUUCAAAUUU